UUAUGAGAUAUGAUAUGCUAUGUUGUGCAUGCUAGAGUUGCCUAGGUAUUCAUAUUAGGACUAGAGUGGCCUGAUUUUGUGAUGCCUUAGCCUAGGAAGGGUUGUGCUGCUAUGUGAUGCUUGAGAGCGAGUAGGUAGCAGUGAGGGGCUGAUAAGAGGUCUACCGAAGGGUAGCCUAUGCCAGUGAGAUAUAGAGUACUUGUGAUCUGGGAUCCAAGGAGGAGGACUUAGGGUGAAUACUGAUGUGGUGUAGACGGUAGUAUAAGGGCCCGUACUACUGAAGACACCGAAGCAGUGCGUACUCUAAGUAAGAGUCCUUGGGGUACUAGGGAACAGGUAGGUCGAGAUAUCGAGUGUGAGCCUGCUCGAGCGAGUCACUGAUAUUAUUAUGUUGUAUUUCAGAGACAUCAUGGUUGGGACACGCCACAUACUUGAGGCGAGCGGUGUGAGUGACGAGGAGCUUCGUCAGAUGAUCCACGAUGAGGUGGCUGCGGUGAUCCGGGUCGAGAUUUUGGAUAUGUUUGGGUCUAUCAAGACCACAUUGAUUGAGACCUUUGACGAGCAUUAUGCAGCGGUGACUGAGACUGUGGGUGCUACAGCUACUACAGCUGUGGCUGCUGCCAGGCCUCAGGGAGGUGGCUCGUUGUUGUUUCGGAAGUUCAGCAACACGAAGCCACCUGAGUUUGAUGGGACGCAGGAUCUGAUCGUUGUAAUGAGAUGGAUUGCUGAUAUUGAGGGAUGAUUCUAUACCUGUUCAUGUCCGGAGCAUCUGAGGGUUCAAUUCGCGUUGAACCAGCUUCGCUUGGGAGCGAAGGAUUGGUAGAAGUUUGUGACGGCAAGCUUUACAGUUGCAUAGAUUUUAGAGGUGACUUGGGAGAGGUUCACCACCAUGUUCAGAGAUGAGUAUGUUCCCCCGGUGGAGAGGGAACGGUUGGUUCAGGAAUUCUUGACCCUCAAGCAGGGUACUGAUUCGGUCACUGUGAUUACGAGGAAGUUUCAUGAGAGGGCGAUGUUCUGCCCUAAGCAGGUGUCUACUGAGUAGGCACGUAUGAGUCGGUAUUUGGGCAUUCUGAGGAGAUACAUUCAGGAGUUCGUGUCGAACUCGACGUACCAGACAUUUGCUGAGCUCCAGGAAAAUGCCCGGAAGAAGGAGUUUGAGUUGGGGACUCAUGCCAGGGAGGAGGCCGAGUCUCAGAGGAUGGGUNGGCCAGAAGGUCCGCACUUGUAGGAAGUACGGCAAGGGACAUGAGGGGGCCUGUCGAUCGGGUGCUUGCUACAAAUGCGGCAAGGAGGGGCAUAUCGCCAAGGAUUGCCCCAAGGGAUUUAUGGUUUGCUUUCAUUGCAACCAUACGGGCCAUCGGAAGACCGAGUGUCCGCAUUUGCAUCAGGGGUCAGCACAGGGAUCUACGCCUGCUGCUAGGGUUACCGAGGUUCGGCCAGUGAAGGCCGAGGCACCGAAGGCUCGUGGGAGAGCUUUCCAGUUGACAGCGGAGGAGGUCCGUGCAGUGCCCGAUGUUGUGGUUGGUAUGUAUUAUUUAUUUAUUUUUUUUUGAGUUGAGAUAUUGUGCUUAUAUGAUGAUAUGCAUAGGUACUUUUCUUGUGAAUUCUAUACCUGCUUUGGUGUUAUUUGACUCGGCUGUGAGUCGGUCAUUUGUUUCCUUGGCAUUUAGUCAGCACAUUAGUAUCCGACGAGAGGCGUAAAGUUGACCUCUGUGAGUUUCUAUAGCUGUCGAGAGAGCGAUGUAUGCUAUGGAUAUGAGUCGAGGAUGUAUUCUUGAGAUCUUCGAUGUGGAGUUCCCAAUAGAUCUUGUCCCGAUUACGAUGGGGGACAUAUGUGCUAUAGUGUGCAUGGAUUCGUUGAGCCGAUUUGGAGCUAAUAUAGACUGCGAGCGUCAGUUGGUGACGAUACGAGACCCUAGUGGGGGAGUACUUACGGUGUACGACGAGGGAACCUGAUAUGUGUCAGCGUUUUGUUCGGCUGCCAGGGCGAGACAGCGUUUACAGCAGGGCUACAGCGGGUUCGUAACAUAUGUGAUGGACACGCGAGUGGCUGCUGGGAGGCCAAGUUCGAUAGAUGAGGUUCUGAUAGUGUAUGAGUUCCCGAAUUUUUUUCCCGAGGAAUUGUCGGGUGUGCCUCCUGAGAGGCAAGUGGAGUUCCAUAUCGAUUUGGUUUCGGGAGCAGCACCUAUCGCCAAGGCGCCUUAUCGCCUCGCACCACCAGAGAUGCAGGAGUUAUCCUCGUAGCUUCAGGAGCUGCUGGGGAAGGGGUUUAUUCGACCGANGGAGUUAUCAUCGUAGCUUCAGGAGCUGCUGGGGAAGGGGUUUAUUCGACCGAGUAGCUUGCCUUGGGGAGUGCCGGUCCUUUUUGUCAAGAAAAAGGAUGGUUCACACCAGAUGUGCAUUGAUUACCGGGAGUUGAACAAGUUGACGGUCAAGAACCGUUAUCCGUUACGAAGAAUCAAUGAUAUGUUCGAUCAGUUGCAGGGGGCUUCUUGGUUCUCCAAGAUAGACUUGAGGUCGGGUUAUCAUCAGAUGAGGGUUCGGGAUGAAGAUAUCGGAGAUGCUUUAUUCCAAAUUCUCCAAGUGUGAGUUCUGGUUACGAGAGGUCCAGUUCUUGGGGCAUCUCGUCAACUAGAAGGGGAUUUUGGUCGAUCCGGGCAAGAUUGAGGCGGUCAUGAGGUGGGAGGUGCCGAGAUCGCCCACCGAUAUCAGGAGCUUUCUAGGAUUGGCUGGCUAUUAUCAGAGAUUUAUCAGGGAUUUCUCCAAGAUCGUCGUGCCACUCACCAGGUUGACCCGGAAGGGUGUUACUUUUUCAUGGGGUCCGGAGCAGCAGACCUCGUUUGAGACACUUCGCCAGAGAUUGUGCGAAGCCCCGGUGCUAGCACUCCCGGAAGGGAUGGAGGAUUUUGUGGUGUAUUGUGAUGCAUCGAUAUCGGGGAUGGGUGCAGUAUUGAUGCAAAGGGGGCAUUUGAUAGCAUAUGCACCAAGGAAGUUGAAGCCUCAUGAGAUGAGGUAUCCCACCCACGAUCUGGAGUUAGGGGCAGUGGUGUUCGCCCUCAAGAUCUGGCGUCACUAUCUGUAUGGGGUUCGGUGUACCAUAUACAUGGACCACAAGAGAUUGAAGUACUUGAUGGAUCAGCCCAACCUGAAUAUGCGCCAGAGGAGAUGGUUGGAUGUGGUAAAGGAUUAUGAGUGCGAGAUCCUGUACCACCCGGGCAAGGCUAAUGUUGUAGCAGAUGCCCUGAGCCGUAGGACGGAGAGCGCCCUGCUAUGUGAGGUUUGCAUGAGAUUGACAGUGAUGACUCCGGUGUUGGACACCAUUCGAGGGGCCCAGGCCGAGGCCGUGAGACCAGAGAACCACAAAAGGGAGCGGGUGAUCGGGCAAGUAUCAGAGUUCGUUAUCGAUAGUCGAGGACUUAUGACCUUUCAGGGUCUGGUUUGGGUACCGUUUGUGGGUGGAAUGCGUACCAUCAUGAUGGAUGAGGCGCAUAGAUCGAGGUUCUCGAUCCACCCCGGGGCCACUAAGAUGUAUUUGGACCUGAAAAGAGAGUAUUGGUGGCCCUGUAUGAAGAGGAAUGUCACAUGGUUCUUAGAGAGGUGCUUGAUUUGUCGCAAGGUUAAGGCCGAGCACCAACAUCCGCAUGGUACGUUGCAGCCAUUGGAGAUUCUCGAGUGGAAGUGGGAAUAGAUUACCAUGGAUUUUAUCACCAAAUUGUCGAGAACUACUAGGGGUUUUGAUGCAAUUUCGGUGAUUGUGGACAGGUUGACGAAGAGCGCUCACUUUCUUGCUAUUAGUGAGAGCUCUUCUGCUAAGAGAUUGGCAGAGUUGUACGUGAGGGAGGUGGUAUCGCGGCAUGGAGUACCAAUCUCGAUCGUCUCAGAUCGAGAUGUGCGUUUCACUUCCAGAUUCUGGAAGAAAUUUUAUGAGGAAUUGGGUACGAGACUACAUUUUCGUACCAUAUACCACCCACAGAUUGACGGGCAGAGCGAGCGGACAAUCUAGACGCUCGAGGACAUGCUUCGGGCAUGUUUGUUGGACUUCGGAGGGAGUUGGUGAUGGGUUUUGAGCAUUCUAACACUUCCUAAGUGUACAUGCAACCCUAAUAAACCUUGGAUCUAUGUUUGUCUAAGAUACAUGCAAAUAAUUAUUUUUUCCAAGGUUCAUAUCCUAACUAGCAUGGCAUGGGGAACAUGAUCAAAUAAAGCUAGUACAAAUACUUACCUUGUAGUUGUAGUUGAUUGUUUGGAGUUUUAGAGCCUAGCACUAAUACUGUGGAUGCCUCAAAUGGAAAUCACAAAUCACCACAAACUUGGAACUUUGAGAGAAUAGUCACUACUAUCUUGAAAUCGGCCCUCACCUCAACAAGUGUCAACUAGUAUGAUUUCAAGAACCAAAGCCUUCUUUAUAUAGUGUGGUGGAUUAGGGUUACAUCCAUGUAAACCCUAAUACCCAUGUCUCUUCAUUUCCAUGAGAUCCAUGGGUUAAAGCUCCAUGGAGUAUCCAUGGACUUUUCCAUGCAAGCCUAGCCCAUUCCAAAUAAGCAUUAGCCCACACUAUAUAAAUAUAGAAGCCCAUAUUUAAUUAGUAAUAUCUUUGAUCUCUAAAUUAAUCCUAGAUUAAUUAUAGAUCAAUACUAAUUAAAUAAUAUGAUCUUAUAUUAAUAUAUUAGAACUUAUAAUAUAUUAAUAAAUCAUAACUUGUACUAUUCUCAAAAGAUUAUCCAUAAAUUGUUCGGGUGAAGUGCAACCCAAAUGGACCAUGCCGGGUCGGGUCAAGUACAUACCAAAUAUAGUUAUGGACUUAGACACUAUAUCCAACAGUCUCCCACUUGGAUAAGUCUAAUAACUAUAGUUGCAAGUAUGACUUCAGGAACCGAUCAGCAAUCGUAGCUCUUUAAACUCUGUUGAACUAGAACGCGCCAUUUUAGAUAAGUGAUCAUAUAAUCCUCUGUUCUAGAUAUCAGCCAGACAAAUACAUGGAACAUGGUCUUACUUAUUGCCCAGCAUUUGUUUCCCGAUUUCCGAUUUGUUUGACAUAGAACUUAACUGAACACAUCAAUUUAGUUCUGACCGGGCCCGGUACAUAGGUCAAAACAAAAUCAUCGAGGGGCCCAGAUAUCAGCUUCUAAUCCAAGAAGGAACAGAUAAACUUCGACUCAUAUGUUUGUUCUACCACUCAUUGAAUUACACACAAAAGCACGUUUUAUAACAUCGAGUUACCAAUGCGUUUUCGUACAAUCAAUGCAUAACCAACUCGUAAGUAACAAAUCAUAUCUCUAGGUUUGAAGACUUAUAUGAUAUUACCGUCUCACGAUCACUCGAGAUAAAAUUCCAUGAAGUGAUUCCAGUGAGCGUGGGUUGAGUCCAAUGCUCAGAACUUAUGAGCACUCAUGAUUGUUGUAGCCUUGUCCAACACCUUAGACCUCUACAACCCAUCAUGACAGUCUUGAUUCAUACCUACUUCCGACAUAUGACCGACUGUGGAGGUUUGAAUAAUAUGUUAUACCAAACAAAAUUAUUCUGGAAGUCAAAACAUGCAAAAGAAAUAUAGUAAACGAUCGACAAGAGAUAGCAACACUUUACUCAUAAAUAAAACACCUUUUAUUCAUCAUCUAAUGUCAAUUACACUUUACAAAUUUCAUAAUUUAUCUAACUACUAAAACUUAUAUCAUCCUUCAGCCCUAUGCUCCGAGCAUGCUGGAGAUGCUUAACCCUACUCAGUCCCUUCGUGAGGGGAUCUGCUGGGUUCUCAUCCGAUGAUACCCUCUUUGCCACGAGGAGUCCUUCUUCGAUCCGAUGUCUGAUGAAAUGGUAUUUUCUGUCGAUGUGUCUGGAUCUCCCAUGAUCCCUUGGUUCCUUGGCUAAGGCAACAGCACUUUCACUAUCACAGAAAAUUUCCAUUGGCUCUUUAAUAGCUGGUACAACUCCAAGGUCUCCAAUGAAGUUCUUCAGCCAUAUCGCCUCCUUUGCUGCUUCACUAGCUGCAAUAUACUCUGAUUCACAAGUAGAAUCUGCCACUGUCUCUUGCUUGGAACUCUUCCAAGAAAUUGCUCCUCCGUUUAGGGUAAAGACCCAGCCCGACUGAGAGCGGAAAUUAUCCCUAUCAGUCUGGAAGCUAGCAUCACUAUACCCUACAACUCUCAAGUCAUCACUCCCACCGAGGGUAAGGACCCAGUCCUUAGUCCUCCGUAGGUACUUGAGGAUAUUCUUUACCGCAGUCCAGUGUGCCUUGCCAGGGUUCGCCUGAUACCUGCUAACCAUGCUCAAGGCAAAAGCUACAUCGGGUCGAGUACACGUCAUAGCAUACAUGAUCGAUCCUACAGCCGAAGCAUAAGGUGUUCGACUCAUUUCUGCUAUCUCAGCCUCAGUGCUAGGGCUUUGUGUCUUACUCAAUCUGGUGUUACUCUGGAUGGGUAACUCUCCUUUCUUGGAAUCCUGCAUGCUGAAUCUCUUCAGCACCUUAUCCAAGUAGGUACUCUGACUAAGUCCAAUUAGUCUUUUACUCCGAUCUCUCAAGAUCCUUAUCCCUAAAAUAUAGGCAGCUUCACCAAGGUCCUUCAUAGCGAAACACUUCCCAAGCCAGGACUUUACUUCCUGCAGGGUUGGAAUGUCGUUUCCUAUGAGUAGUAUGUCAUCCACAUACAAUACCAAAAAGCUAACUAUACUCCCACUAGCCUUGACAUACACACAAGAUUCAUCUUCACUCCUAGAAAAGCCAAAUUCCUUGACCUUUUCAUCAAAGCAAAGAUUCCAUCUGCGAGGUGCUUGCUUCAAUCCAUAAAUGGAUUUCUCAAGCUUACACACUCUAUUAGGGUACUCGUUGCUGACAAAACCCUCUGGCUGACUCAUGUAAACAUCUUCAGCCAACUUUCCAUUAAGGAAAGCGGUUUUGACAUCCAUCUGCCAUAUUUCAUAGUCAUGAAAUGCAGCUAUGGCUAACAGAACCCGAAUAGACUUAAUCUUGGCUACCGGAGAAAAGGUCUCAUCAUAAUCCACUCCAGGAAUUUGAGAGAAGCCCUUUGCAACCAGUCUAGCCUUAUAAGUGUGUACUUUACCAUCCAUGUCGGUCUUCUUCUUGAAGACCCAUUUGCACCCUACUGUCUUACGACCUGGUACAUUUUCAACCAAGUUCCAAACUUGAUUGUCAUACAUGGAUUGUAUCUCGCUAUCCAUAGCCUCUUUCCAUUUAGCAGACUCGGGGCCUGCCAUGGCUUCCUCGUAGCUGUUAGGGUCAUCUUGACUUACUAGUGUCUCAUCACUAAUAAGUGUCUCACCUUCUGCAGUAAUAUGGAAUCCAUAGUAAUGCUCAGGUGCACUCCUAACUCUCGUGGAACGUCUCAGAGGUACAGAUUUGUCAAUUGGCUCAACAGGAGUUUCCUCCUCAAGUUGAGGGCUAGAGUUUGAAGUUCCUUCACCGCUUGAUUCUUGAAUUUCUUCAAGAUCAAUUUGCCUCCCACUGUCUCCUUGGCUUAUAAACUCUCUUUCUCGAAAGACUCCUCUUCUUGCUACAAAGACCACAUUGUCACUAGGUCUGUAGAAGAGGUAACCAAAGGAUCGCUGUGGGUAACCGAUGAAAAUACACCUCUCGCUUCGAGGUUCGAGCUUAUCAUGAGUCUCGCGUCUCACGAAAGCCUCGCAACCCCAAAUCUUGAUGUGGUCUAGUUUAGGUACUUUACCAGUCCACAUCUCGUGAGGAGUUUUGGCAACUUUCUUUGUAGGGACUAGAUUAAGAAUAUGGGCGGCAGUCUCUAAGGCAUACCCCCAGAAUGAGAUUGGUAGCGUAGCUCGACUCAUCAUGGAACGAACCAUAUCUAACAAGGUUCGAUUACGCCUCUCAGCCACACCAUUCAACUGUGGUGUCCUGGGAGGUGUCAAUUGUGAGACUAUCCCACAUUCCCUUAGAUAGUCGAGGAACUCUGAACUAAGAUACUCACCACCACGAUCGGAUCGAAGCAUCUUAAUGUUCCUGCCCAAUUGAUUCUCGACUUCCUGUUUAAAUUCCUUAAACCUCUCGAAAGUCUCUGACUUAUGCUUGAUCAAGUAGACAUAUCCAUAUCUACUAUAAUCAUCAGUAAAAGUCAAAUAAUAACGAUUAGCAUCCCUUGUGGCAUGUUUGAAUGGUCCACACACAUCCGUGUGUAUAAGGUCCAACAAACCUUCACCCCUCUCACACGAACCUGUGAAGGGUGACUUUGUCAUUUUUCCAAGUAAGCAUGAUUCGCAACUAUCAUCUGACUUUAGGUCAAACGACUCCAAGACUCCAUCCUUUUGGAGUUGGCCUAUGCGUUUCUUGCUUAUAUGUCCAAGACGACAAUGCCAUAAAGAUGCUUUAUCCAAGUUAUUAUUAGUAGAAUCAAUACACAAAACAUUAUUUCCCAAGUUAUCUACAACAGAUACAGCUUCAUACACACCAUCACAAGGUAAUGCUUUAAAAUAAAAGACAUUAUUAUAGAAAACAUCUAUAGAACCAACUUCAUUAUUAAAUGAAAAGGUAAACCCUUGUUUGUACAAAGCAUGAAAGGAAAUAAUAUUUCUUGCCAUUCCUGGCGAAUAACAACACUUAUUCAAAUCUAAACUAAACCCACUACUUAGCGAUAAAGUAUAAACUCCAAUCUUGGUAACAGGUAUAGCUUUCCUAUUCCCCAUGAUCAAGUUUAUCCUUCCUUGCUCCACAUCCUCACUUCUUCUUAGUCCCUGCAAGUCACAACAAAUGUGAAUACCACACCCGGUAUCAAGGACCCAAGAAUUAGAAUGGGGUGAGUUAUUAGAAAUGAUAGUGUAAAUACCUGCAUGGUUGGGUUUAACUUUCCCAUCCUUCACAUCUUGCUGGUAUUUUGGGCAGUUCCGCUUCCAAUGAGCUUUUUCAUGGCAAUAGAAGCAUUCAGCCUCUUUUGGGUCAGAAGAAGGAGUAACGAAACCUUUCUUGGUUCCACUUGAAGAAGAGCCAUCAAGGGUCCGAGCCUUGGUACCCUUAGAAGAGCUCUUUCUCUUCCUCCCUCGACUUUUCCCGAUUGCCAAAACCGGAGUAGAGUUUUGAGUAGGAGUGAUAGCAACCGACUUCCCCUUAAGACCUGUUUCUGCGGUCUUGAGAAGUCCCUGAAGUUUGCUGAGGGUGACUUCUUCCUUGUUCAUGUGAUAUGUCAUGCGGAAUUGAUCAUAGCACGAUGGUAAGGAAUGCAAAAUAAUAUCUAUUGCAAGAUCCUCCGGGAAGUUCACAUUAAGCUUCAGCAAACGAUCCACAUACCUUUGCAUUUUCUGCAUGUGGCUCGUGACGGAUUCCCCGUCCUUCAUCAUGGUUGUUAUCAUGGAGCAGAUGAUUUCAUACCUCUCUUGUCUUGCACUUUGAUGGUAUCUUUCCAUCAAAUCUUGGUGCAUGUCAUAAGGGUAGAAAUCCUCAUAAGACUUUUGGAGUUCCGCUGUCAUCGUGGCCAUCAUGAUGCAAGCCACUUUCGUAGCAUCCCUUUCAUGUGCCCGAAAUUCAGCGAUCUCCUGAGGAGUUGCAGUGGACUCAUCAAUCUCCUUAAGCUCCUUGUCAAGGACAUAUUCUUUGUCCUCGUAGCGGGUAAUCAUCCUGAUGUUUCUGAUCCACUCAUUGAAGUUGGAUCCAUCAAAGGUGACUUUCCCACACAAGUUCAUAAGGGUAAAGGAGCCAUUAGGAUUAGAGCCAGAAGCAUUGUUGAAAGACAUCUGAAGGAAAGAGGACAAGAUUAGUUUAGAUAUAAGAGAGUCCUUAAUAAAACACCCAAAUGUAAUAUUAAGGCUAGGAUCCAAUCACAAUAUAAUAUAACUUAGAAGAGGUAUGCCGUAAUCUAAGCUAUAUCAUAUUUGAAAGGUAGGUGAAUGACGAUUCACCAAUUUCCACCACGAAAACCGCAAUAUUUUAGUAUUAGGUUUUUGAAUGGUUCUUAGAAAUUCCUAGAUUCUUUGAGAUUCAAUGAACUUUUCAAAGGCAUGUUUCAAUCUCGAGUGUGCCCUCCAAGUUUUGUGACUGGGAUACCGAGGAUCACAAAACGAGGUGUGAAGUAACCAUGCAAAUCACUUGGUACCCUUAAAGUUUAUCACUCAAUCGAUGUGCCGGUUAACCACACACGCUCCAUCGAUACUAUAAUAAACCCUAAGUCACCCUUUACCUACCUUGUUAAGUCCAAGUUAGUGUGCCGGUUAACCACACACGCUCCACCAACGACUUAAUCAAAGUGUAAAGUGUAAUUUCAUGGAAUAGCACCUUAUUCACAUUUUUCCUAAAGUAACUAAGAUUGGGAAUUUAAUAAAACAUUUAGUUACUUUAUAAUAUUCAUCAUACUUUGAAUGAGAAUUAAUAAGUCCUUGUCUUACCCGUUCGGCUAACGACCCUCCACCGAUCAAGCAAGCGGUGGGUGAGAGUGGACACCCAUUAAGUCACCAUUUUAUAGGCAACAACCUUAUACCCACCUUAUAGACCGGCUUCGUGAAUGAGGCGUACUAGCGGUAAGACGACUUUGUUCUUAUACAUAUAUAUAUAAUUAUUAAAUCAUAAUAAUAUAAGUAUAAGGGUUGAAUUUUAACUUUUAAAAUUCUAGGGGUUGGAACUAAAGUUUUAACUUAACUUUACUUGUUCCAAAACUUGAGGGCAAGUUUUGUAAACUUUCAAAACUUUUCAUUUCUUGUAACUUAUGAGUUUAAUAGAGUAAUAAAAUGAGGACUUUUCAUUUUUCCUAACUCUUGUGUUCUUUUAAUGGUUUUUAAUCCAAGAGACUUUUGGUUUUCCAUAACUUGAGGACAAGUUAUGGACUCCAUUAAAACACAUUAUGAUCAUGAAUUAAUCUACCACAUAGGUUACAAAUAAUUCCUAUGAUCAUCUAAACAUCAUAAGAACAAGAAUAUGAAUAUGAACACUUUCAAGAAUCAAAAUCACAUUUAAUCUUUGUAAUUUUGAUAACUAGUUGUUGUAAAUGAGUUAGAAAAGACAUUACACCUUCUAAAAUAAGUUUUCAAGUACCAAAACAUUUUAGGGUAAUGAUUCUAAUCCAUUUCCAGCAACUCAAGUCGAAAUUCUGCACUCUGUCGACCCUACUCGCCGAGUGCAUAAACCUACUCGCCGAGUAGGUUGAAGAUACACAUGAACUCGACGAGUCCUCCCCAUGGACUCGCCGAGUCCAUCAGUCAGACAGCAGAAUUUUCGACUUUCUUCAACUUUUAAGCACAAAUAACAAACAAACAAGCCUAGGCUCUGAUACCACUGAUGGGUUUUGAGCAUUCUAACACUUCCUAAGUGUACAUGCAACCCUAAUAAACCUUGGAUCUAUGUUUGUCUAAGAUACAUGCAAAUAAUUAUUUUUCCAAGGUUCAUAUCCUAACUAGCAUGGCAUGGGGAACUUGAAUCAAAUAAAGCUAGUAGAAAUACUUACCUUGAAGUUGUAGUUGAUUGCUUGGAGUUUUAGAGCCUAGCACCAAUAGUGUGGAUGCCUCAAAUGGAAAUCACAAAUCACCACAAACUUGGAACUUUGAGAGAAUAGUCACUACUAUCUUGAAAUCGGCCCUCACCUCAACAAGUGUCAACUAGUGUGAUUUCAAGAACCAAAGCCUCCUUUAUAUAGUGUGAUGGAUUAGGGUUACAUCCAUGUAAACCCUAAUACCCAUGUCUCUUCAUUUCCAUGAGAUCCAUGGGUCAAAGCUCCAUGGAGUAUCCAUGGACUUUUCCAUGCAAGCCUAGCCCAUUCCAAAUAAGCACUAGCCCACACUAUAUAAAUAUAGAAGCCCAUAUUUAAUUAGUAAUAUCUUUGAUCUCUAAAUUAAUUAGAUUAAUUAUAGAUCACUACUAAUUAAAUAAUAUGAUCUUAUAUUAAUAUAUUAGAGCUUAUAAUAUAUUAAUAAAUCAUAACUUUUACUAUUCUCAAAUAUUAUCCAUAAAUUGUUCGGGUGAUGUGCAACCCAAAUGGACCAUGCCGGGUCGGGUCAAGUACAUACCAAAUAUAGUUAUGGACUUAGACACUAUAUCCAACAAGUACGUGAUCAGUAUGUUUAUGACAUAUUAUUAGGUGAUAGUGGUAGGGGUGAAAUAGUCCCCGGUUACCGGUUGAAAGAUACCGAUGGCAGUUACCGGUUGAGAGAUACCGAUGGUGUUAUGUGGUAUGUAGUAUGAUGGGGGAACUCACUAAGCUUCGUGCUUAUGGUUUACAUUUUUUGUUUUAGGUACUUUGUUUCAAAGAAAAGGAGCCGACUUAGUCGCAGCGCAUCUCACUAUGUUUUCCGCACACGAGAUCCUUAGGAUUAUACUCUGAUAUGGUUUCAUAAUGUUAUAUUUUGAUUAUUCACACUUUGGUUUUAUGUAAUAACUUAAUAAAAAAUGAAAUUUUUGACCUGUAUUUUUGCGAUGUUACAAGUUGGUAUCAGAGCCUUGGUUUGAGGGAUUCAGACAUACUCUUGGGUGUGUCUGAACUCAAACUAAGGGCUUGGUAUGAAAAUUUUCAAAAGUUGAACCAUUUUAUAAAAAGGAGUUUGAAAAGAAUUUGAAAAGAGAAAAGAACUUUUAGAAGAACAAAGUGUGUGAUGCGUGCAAUCAGCCGAGCUCAAGUAAGUUUUCCCCAAGAUACCCAUACAUGUUAUGUUAUGAUCUGAUAUGAUUAUGAGAACUGCAUGCUAAGAUUAGGGCUAACAAUCUAGGGAGGAUGCCUUACAUGCCUGCUGUAUGUGCUUGUUGAGUUGCAUGAUAGUACUAAUCAAUUAUUGAUAGGAUAGCCUGUUUAGGUUAUGCCUGAUUGCGUGAGCCUUGGAAUUGCAUGCUAGUAUAGAUCCCUGACAAUAGGAUAGAUUGAUUUGAUUGGAAUAUGUUGGUUGGAUUUUUCCAUUGUCUGAAUGCUGCUUGCUUUGUGAUUUUUGGAACUCUUAAGUGAUGGGAGUCAGCUACUAAGUGGAUGUAACGACAUCUAGGAGGUAGAUGACUAGCAUCGUGGAGAGUUCUUCAGCAGCUGAUGGCAGGACGAGAUCGAGAACCUAGGUAAGCCUAGGAUAUGUUUCAGUGGGUUAUUAGGGAGGCUCAGUGAGACUUGGGUGAAGCAGUUGAGGAAGUGACUUGGAGGAUCGACGAGGAUUGCUGAGGAAAGUAUGGAUAGGUGUGGAAGAUAGUAUUGUGCCCGUACUACUGAAAGCACAGGAUCCGUACUCGAAUCGGUGAGAGUCUUGGAGAAUUUGAGAAGCUUUGGGGAGAAGUUUAUGACCCGGUUGGGGACAGAGGGUGUUCCAGUGUUGCAGCAUAGCCAUUGGCAAGCGAGCCAGUAAGCGUGACAGGGUGUCAAACCCUGGAGGAUAUGAUUUCCAGAAGUUGCAUAUGCGGGAUCGAUUUGAAGCACCCUGGAAAGAGGGGUUCAUGCCAGGUGCGUCUAGUAAAGGGGUCUCGGGAAGAGACCCAUGACUUCUGAUCAUCGGGGGAAGGGCCAGCAGGGCCGGAGUCAGUGCAGUGCGUACGAGAAAGUGCACUAGCGAGUUGUCACUCCAAGGGUUUAGGCUGCUACAGGUGUGGCAGGGUUGAUCAUGAUAGUUGAAGGUGAUCCGUAUUCUUCUAGAUGAAGCGGGUAUGUCGUCUUCUAUUGUUGCUAGAUGGACAUUGGGGAUAUGUAUCGCUUUGGAAUUGUGAGUGAGUGUGUAUAAGUCAGACCUCGGGUCGGAUUUUCUGCUAGUGUUUGGGUUACCAAGGAUCAUAUAUGCCAUCAUGCAUGACGAAAGGUCCUUGAUGAACCCACAGAAGGAUGCAUCUUGCAGAGUGGGAUCCGCGCGCACCGUUAUCAUUUCGGAUCUUUGUUGGGAUCUAUGCAGGAGUAUUAUUUAGAGGAUACUCGGUCAGGGUUGGAGUGAUAGUUCUCCAGUCAGGUCAACGUUCAGGGAUUCUAUCAUUUGUUCAGGUAUGGUCGGUAAUUGUCUAUGGAUGAACUUUAGAGUUCAAGGCACUACCGUUUUUAGGACAUAGUUGGUGACAUGAAGAGGGUAGUGUCAGUCGUGGGUGUUAGAUGCAUAAGUGGUUGGUCACUGGAUGUUCAAGAGGAUUGUGUUUUUGAUGGGUUUUAACUAUAAGAACAUCCUAUGUGUUCAUACAAACCCUAAUGCUUGGAUGUAGUUUUCUCUAUUGUACAUGUAAGUUAUCCAAGACUAUAAACCCUAGAUCUAGUAUAUGAUAAUCAAUAUAACAUAUAAAUUAGGGUUUAGAUCAUACCUUGAUUGUUAUGUAGCAAUAACAAUCUCAAAUCCUCCUUGUAGUGACUUUAGAAAGCUUAGAGUCACAAAUGUCACUCCUCUAAUGGUUCACAAACACCAAGAGCAAGAGGAUGAAGAAGAGAAGAGAAGGAGGCUGCCCAAAAUGUGUGGAAACCCUAAUUAACUAGUUCACCACGUUUUUGAGCCAUAAGGGUCCUUUAAAUAGUGAAACUAUUACGGUUACAAAACAAGGAAACCCUAAUUUGGAUGCUUAGGCCCUAAGCAACCCAUGGACUCCUUCCUUAAAGGCCUAGGACGAUUUCCUAUGGGUUUUCCAUAGAAUUCGUCCAUCCCUUUAAUAUGGAGUCCAUUAGCUCAAUAUUCAACUAUCAUACAAUUGACAGUUCUAGUCCCUUAAGUUUAAUUAAUGUCUUUUAGCCACAAAAUUAAUGCUUAAUUAAUUAUUGACUAAUAUUAAUUAAACAAUAUGAUUUCUCCUUUAAUAUAUUAUUCUCAUAAUAUAUUAAUAAAUCAUAAUUAAUCCUUUCUCUCCAUAAUUCAUCCUAUCAAGUUGCUUUGGUGAAGGCAACCCAAAAGGACCAUGCACCAUCGGGUCAAGUACAUACCAAAAUAGUUAUGGACUUAGACACUAAUCCAACAGUCUCCCACUUGGAUAAGUCUAAUAACUAUUAUGCGUAUGACUUCAGAUCCUGAUCUGCAAUCGUAGCUUUCUAAAGCCACUGUCAACUCUGAUCUUAUCAGAUACGCGUGUCCUUUAGAUAAGGGAUCAUAUAUUCCUCCAUUCUAGAUAUCAUAUAAGAUAUGAUUUCAAAUCAUUCUCUUUGUACUAUAUCUCGAUUCCCGAUUUAUGACGACUGACUAAUUGAACAAAUCAAAUUAGCCCUAGCCCGGCCGAGCAUUUACGUUUGUCAUCACUAAAUCAUCGAGGGGCCCAAAGAUAUCGCUUUUAUCCUACUUUGGAUAAAAGGAACGGAUAAACUUUGAUACAAUGCUCGCUUGCACUCACUCACCGAAUCACACACAACAAUAUGUUUUAUAACACCAAGUUACUAGUGCGUUUACAUAUUAUCAAUGUGCAACCGAUUUGCAAGAUACAACUCACACAUCUCGGUUUCAAGAAUAUAAGAUGUUAUCGUCUCACCAAUCACUCGUGAUACAAUUCAUGGAGUGAUCCAAGUGAGCGUGGGUUUAAUCCAAUGCUCAAAUCAUAUUCAUAAGCACUCAUGAACGUUGUAGCAAACAUUUUCUUAUGUCUAAUACACUUUAGACAAUCCACACACCAAUUCACGACAGUCUUCAUUCAUACCUACUUCCAACAUAUGAACGCUUGUGGCCCAUUCAAAUAAUUUGAUUGUGCUUAAACCAAUUAAAUUAUUUAGGAAGUCAAAAAUGCAAANNNNNNNNNNNNNNNNNNNNNNNNNNNNNNNNNNNNNNNNNNNNNNNNNNNNNNNNNNNNNNNNNNNNNNNNNNNNNNNNNNNNNNNNNNNNNNNNNNNNNNNNNNNNNNNNNNNNNNNNNNNNNNNNNNNNNNNNNNNNNNNNNNNNNNNNNNNNNNNNNNNNNNNNNNNNNNNNNNNNNNNNNNNNNNNNNNNNNNNNNNNNNNNNNNNNNNNNNNNNNNNNNNNNNNNNNNNNNNNNNNNNNNNNNNNNNNNNNNNNNNNNNNNNNNNNNNNNNNNNNNNNNNNNNNNNNNNNNNNNNNNNNNNNNNNNNNNNNNNNNNNNNNNNNNNNNNNNNNNNNNNNNNNNNNNNNNNNNNNNNNNNNNNNNNNNNNNNNNNNNNNNNNNNNNNNNNNNNNNNNNNNNNNNNNNNNNNNNNNNNNNNNNNNNNNNNNNNNNNNNNNNNNNNNNNNNNNNNNNNNNNNNNNNNNNNNNNNNNNNNNNNNNNNNNNNNNNNNNNNNNNNNNNNNNNNNNNNNNNNNNNNNNNNNNNNNNNNNNNNNNNNNNNNNNNNNNNNNNNNNNNNNNNNNNNNNNNNNNNNNNNNNNNNNNNNNNNNNNNNNNNNNNNNNNNNNNNNNNNNNNNNNNNNNNNNNNNNNNNNNNNNNNNNNNNNNNNNNNNNNNNNNNNNNNNNUGAACAUCCUUUUGCAUAAAAUUUCUAAUCUAGACAUUGAUUCUCAAUAUCCAACUCCCAAUAUGGAAACAUUUCCAUAUUUUCCAUAUGAAAACUCAUUCUUAAUAGAAUCUUUUCUAUUCAUAAUAAUGUCGAUAUGGUCCAUCCAAUACUAUACUUCCAACUAUUCACAAGCGACCAAUCCUCGGUGAACUUUGGAUUGUCCUUUGAUAGUUGUUUAACUAUCUUAGUCAAAACCGAUUCUUGUCCUUUUCCCUCUAAAUGCGCUAGACAUUUGGAAAAUUUUUGAAUGGUCAAAUAUUAUAGUAUUUGAAAUCGAUCGUAUAUCCGAAGCGUAUAGGACACGAUGCACAAUGUCCUACAUAAAGAUUUGAUACUUUAUCAAUCUUCUGCCUUAAUAUUUUAUGUGCUAUGUUCUUACAAUUCGAACUUUGAAGUGGAAUGUCGUAAUCAUAAUCGAAAUUUAAGAACACACUAUGUAUCCUUGACUAAAUUUAUUAACAUUCCACAACCUCAGCCUUUAGAUUUGAAAUGAAGCAUAAUAUUCUCUCCCUUAAUUAUAGCAAAACAACUAUUCCAUAUUUACAACUUUGCAAAGUAUGACUCUUGUUUUCUAUAAUUAAUAUUGCUAACUUGCAAUACUUGCCUUAAUAAUCAUACAAUCAUAACAUUUAUGCUCCCACUAUCAUGAUGAUUAUUAUAAACAUAACACUUAUGCUCCCACUAGCUUAGACAUGUAUUCAGAAACAGCUUAACUUUCAGAAAAACAAUGCUUAUUGAAUUUCUUUAAGUUCAUAUUUCUAAUACCCAAUGCUUUGAUAAUAUUUUAUCAAGGCUUCUUGAACUUAUACACAUUUGUCUUAGAUAGCUCAUAUGUGUGUCUACAAAAUUCAGACUAAUUGCCAAAUCUCACAAUUCGAAUCAUGGAAAGGGACACCGUAACCAUAAUCGAAUUUGAGAAUCCAAUUUUUACAAUCACUAUCUUCUUAAAAUCACUCUUAGUGAAAGCAUUUCCUCAUAGUCAUUUCCAUGAAGGAGGGAAUCUUAUGACACUUAGAUUUUAAUGGUGUAUGUGUUCCUAUCCAUGUGAAUUUGUCAAAACCAAAGUUUAUGACAAAUUCAAACUUAUAUGGACCGAACUUUCUUAAUCUUGAUUUCUUGCCUUAUGGUAACACAGCUGCCCACCAUGUCUUCCAAGUAGUUAAGCAGCUCACCCUUUCUUAUUAAUGUAAUUUUCAUUGAUCAAGGUCCUUGCCUUUUAUGCAUUCAAAUGAGAACUCAUAGGGCUCACAUGCAUUAUUAACUUAAUUGGGACGACACAGAAACAAGACAAUGUCAACACGAUAGGUUGUAAACCUCAACUCGUGUGCUAGUGAUGAUCGAUAAGGUUUAUUCUUGAUCAGUUCUUGAAACUUUUCGAGAUCAUUAAGACUCCCACUGAUUCCUUGACAUAUAAGAUUCUUUUGUCAAUAAACAUUUCUUGACAAACAAAUAUUCAAGAGUUAGUGUAGCCUUUACUAAGACAAAACACUUCACAAAAUUGGUCCUAGUUGGUCUUUGUCUUAUCCAAGACAUCACAACUUACCAAUUUCAAAUGUGCAAGAAUAAUGAAAACCUUUUCUAAAUUCUACAUUUGAUGAAUGUUAUAAACCUUAUUUAGACUUGUCACUCAAUGUCAUAAUCUUAACUUUAUGAUUUGUUUUGGAGUGAAGUAUGAUUGACUUCUUGAUUUAACCAUUUCUUCAAUUCUUGAUUCCUUGUCUCAGACAUACAAUUGUACUAAGACUUACUUAGAGAAUCAAUCGAGAUAUGGUUCUUAAUCAUUAAGACAUAUCAUAGAGCAUAAAAGUACUCUCCCUUCUUCUUAGAAUAGAGAAACAUUUAUCUUUCUGCCUACUUGAUUCUUCUUAUUCGUUCUGCUAUUGAUUUAAACUUUUUCAAUCAAUUCAGAAUUACACUUAAUCUUGUAAGUAUAAUCACAUUUACUAAUAUUUUAGUAAAUCAUGACGAAUAUCUUUGUUACUCUUGUGGUGGACACACAACUUUGUGUACUCGAUCUCUUAGUCUUUCACUUGACACUUUGUCAAUGAAUUAGUCUAAUUUACAAAUAUGAAAUUUCUCAUUCAUCGUGCAACCAAGUUGCAUGAAUCCAAGUUUUUGUCCAAUUGAAACUUGGGUGAUGAGAAACUCUCCCUAUUUGAUAAAUUCUCAACAUUUCCACAAACAACAUAAUUAAGAAUCACAUCCACUCGUUGUAGAAAUAUGCGAACAUCAAUUUUUUCAUAACGAUUUCAUUGCAAGGAAAUUAAUAAAUAAAUAAAUAAAUGAGUCAAACCAAAAUUUAUUUUAUUCAUAAAAGCAGCGGAAAACAUUUGCCCUUACAAUGCAAAAUCAACUGAAAAACUAUGUAGUCAAAUAUUCCUAACAACUCUAUCAUAACUUUCUAAGCUUAAAUCUAAUCUUCAAGUCCAAGCGAUCGAGAUCCAUUUCUUUGUGAUUAGACUCAUCUUGCUCUUUCAUCAAGCUUCCCCUCUUUUCACUAAUCCUGCAAAACAUUCAAAUGCAAUCUUAUCACAUUAUGUAUUAAGAAUCAACGAAUAGGAACUUAACGGAGUUAGAUAGUGGAUUUUAUCUGAAGCACAUCCAUACUCUUUGACUCUCCCAUCUUCUGGACUCUUCAGGCCCUAGUGGAUUUUAUCAACCUAUCGAUGUGUGAUUUCAUUCCUAGAACGUGGGCACACACGGGUUUACCAUCUUGAUGUUUCAUUUCCAAUAGGGCUUUAGUGACAUUGAACCUUUCAAUUCUUCGAUCUUGUGGGUUAGGGAGAAUAAUUGGAGGAGGUGGAGGAAGUGAAGCAUGAUUUCUUGUUCGUCGAUCGAAUCGUGGAAUAUCAUCUUCAUGUGGAAAACUUGUUCCACAGGAUUUGGGAAGACUAUAACAGUCGUACUUUGACAUCUAAAAAACGGGAGAAAAAUAAAUUCAAGUUAGUUGAUUGAUUGAGUCCUUAGUAAAUCAUCCAAAUGAUAUAAUAAGGCUAGGACCCAACACCAUAUUCCACAACUCGGGAGAGGGAUGCCGUAACCUAAAUUGCAGAACAUUUGAAGGUAAGUGAAUGACUAUUCACUAAUUUCCACCAUGAAAAACGAAAAACCGAUUUAAGUUUUAAAUGCUUUGAAAACUCCUAGAUCCUAUGAGAUUCAUUGAACUUUUCAAUGGCAUGUUUAAAUCUCGAUAUGCCCCUCUAGUUUGUGACUGGGAUGCCGAGGAUCACAAAGCGGGUGUGAAUAACCAUGCAAAGUUACAUGGUGCCCCCACAUGUUACAGUCAUCUAUUCGAUGUGCCGGUAAACCACACAUGCUCCACCGAACUAUGACAAACAUUGAGUCACCCUUUUCUACCUUUGCUUAGAACCAUUUAGUGUGCUGGUAAACCACACGCGCUCCACUAACGUCUUUNUUCAUUAUACUUAUAAUGGAGGGUUCUGUCCUAUCCUACCCGUUCGGCUAACGACCCUCUACUAGUCAAGAGUGCGGUGGGUAAGAGUGGAUACCCAUUCAAUCGCCAUUUUAUAGGCAAUUUCCUUAAACACCCCUUAUAGACCAGCUUCGUGAAUGAGGCCUACUAACGGUAAGACUGACUUUUACUCAUACAUAUAUAUAAUGUUAGACUUUUAAUGUUAUAUAUAGUAUAAGGUGUAUUUUACACUUUUAAAAUACUAGGUGGUCAAAUUCAAUAAUUAUACUUUUAAUUCAAUUAUAUUGUAAACCAAAACUUUAUGGAUUUAUUAAGCCUCUUUUAAUUAUACACCUUAAUUAAUUAAUAAAACCAUAAGGGUUUGAUUUGAACUUUUCAAAACAAUACUAGGGUUUUAGAAUUUAACAUUCCUAAAUUAAACUUUUAAUCGACUUUUAAAUUCCAAAACUUGAGGGCAUGUUUUGAAACAUUUCAAAAAAUUAGGGUUUAGAAUUUAAAUAUACAUCAAAAUUAAACUUUUAAUCAAAUUUUAAAUUCCAAAACUUGAGGGCAAGUUUUGAAACCUUUUCAAAACAUUAGAGUUUAACUAUUUAAAUUUCAAAAACAAAACUUUUAAGUUCAAAUUUAAAUUAUAAAACCUAAGGGGGAAAAUGAAACUUUUCAUAAUACAAGGAUCAAAUAACAAAUAAUAUAAAUUAAACAAUUAAUCUUAUCAUUAUCUAUAUUUGACCUAAUUUCAGUUUCUUGCAAAAUAAGUUACCCAAUUAAUACCCAUAAUCAAACUUUCUCAUAUAAGGAAGUUAUUAUUUAAUCAAUUGGUAAUUAUCUUUUGUUUAAUCAAGGAUAUACUCAUAAAUAUGUAUAAAAUUGGAUUUUAAUUACCUAAAACAGAUAAGGUAAGUACCAUGAGCAAAACAACAAGAAAUCCCGAAAAUAGCUCCAUCUGAUGCCCGAAAUCGCCGAGUACCACACUGGACUCGCCGAGUUGAGGCCUACUCGUCGAGUACACUGUGGUACUCGCCGAGUUCAUCAGGCAGGUGAGCUAAAUAUCGAUUUUGCAACUUGAACAAACAUACAAGGCAUUAAUACAAUAGAAACCAAUCAAGGCUCUGAUACCGCUGAUGGGUUUUAACUCUAAGAACAUCCUAUGUGCUCAUACAAACCCUAAUGCUUGGAUCUAGGUUUCUCUAUUGUACAUGCAAGUUAUCCAAGACUAUAAACCCUAGAUCUAGUAUAUGAUAAUCAAUAUAGCAUAUAAAUUAGGGUUUAGAUCAUACCUUGAUUGUUAUGUAGCAAUAACAAUCUCAAAUCCUCCUUGUAAUGACUUUAGAAAGCUUAGAGUCACAAAUGUCACUCCUCUAAUGGUUCAGAAACACCAAGAGCAAGAGUAUGAAGAAGAGAAGAGAAGGAGGCUGCCCAAAAUGUGUGGAAACCCUAAUUAACUAGUUCACCACGUUUUUGAGCCAUAACGGUCCUUUAAAUAGUGAAACUAUUACGGUUACAAAACAAGGAAACCCUAAUUUGGAUGCUUAGGCCCUAAGCAACCCAUGGACUCCUUCCUUAAAGGCCUAGGACGAUUUCCUAUGGGUUUUCCAUAGAAUUCGUCCGCCCCUUUAAUAUGGAGUCCAUUAGCUCAAUAUUCAACUAUCAUAUAAUUGACAGUUCUAGUCCCUUAAGUUUAAGUAAUGUCUUUUAGCCACAAAAUUAAUUCUUAAUUAAUUAUUGACUAAUAUUAAUUAAACAAUAUGAUUUCUCCAUUAAUAUAUUAUUCUCAUAAUAUAUUAAUAAAUCAUAAUUAAUCCUCUCUCUCUCUCUCUCCAUAAUUCAUCCUAUCAAGUUGCCUUGGUGAAGGCAACCCAAAAGGACCAUGCACCAUCGGGUCAAGUACAUAUCAAAAUAGUUAUGGACUUAGACGCUAAUCCAACAGUUUUCGCAUGGGAUGUGUUCGGUCAGAGUUCAGUGGUAUUGCAAGAAUGGGAGUGGUAACGAGGAUUCGUCAGCUAGAGUAAAGAUUAAGGUCUUCAAUUGACAACAUGUUAGAUGGAUCGAGGUGUCAGACUGGAUCAAAUUUCAAGAGUAAUCAUCGAGAUUCCCGAGGAUGGGAGAUCUCAAUGUUUAAUCGGUGAUUAAACUCUAGCAUUGAUGGGGACAGGUGGUCAUCAGUGGGAUAUUAAAAAGUAAGAAGGAUUGGGAAUCCUUCAAUUCUCAUGUACCGUGAAGACUUAGUCAAAUCUAAGUGGGGGAGAGACUUUUUAUAAAGUUCUCCAACUAUGAGUUUUGGUUGCGAAAGGUGCAAUAUCUUGGGCACCUUGUUAACCAGAAGGGUCUUUUGGCGAUCCGGCCAAGUUAGAGGUCGCGAUGCAGUGGGAGAUUCUGAGACCUCCAACUGAGAUUCGGAGCUUCCCAGGUCUAGCUUGAUAUUACCAGAGAUUUAUACAGGAUUUCUCCGAGAUUAUGGUUCCUUUGACUCGACUGACCAAGAAGUCGGUGGCCUUUCAAUGGGGGCCUGAGCAACAAGCAACCUUCGAGACUCUCGGACAGCGGUUGUGCGAGGCAUCGAUUCUCACCCGGCCAGAGGGUGUAGAUGAUUUCGUGGGUUACUGGGAUGCUUUGAUCACGGGCAUGGGUGUGGUACUGAUACAGUGGGGUCACGUGAUAGCAGGUUUUGGGAACCAGGUUAGAGUUCUGGAUAGGACAUGAUUUUAGUUGUGUGUUAGGUCGAAUGCAUGUUCGACCGGUGCGGAAGGUGUUGUAAGACUACGGGGGUAGCCAUAACAUUCACUAGCAGUCAGAUAGUUUGGAAAGUGUCAUAAGAGUACGGGGGUAGUCGUAGCAUUCACUAGCAGUCAGAUAGUAUGGGAAGUGUUGUAAGACUAAGGGGGGUAGCCGUAGCAUUCACUAGCAGCAGAUAGUGCUUGAGUGAGGUAAGUCUGUGGGUGUAGCCGCAGCCUUCCCUUGGUUGGUAGAUAGCAUGAGCGCAUUGUUAGAACGUGGAAGGAAUAGUAGUACCCACCAGUUCGGGUGCAGCAGUGAGGAUAUGGAAAUCCACAGAUUGGAUUUCGGUGUUACCCAGAUGGAUUAGAUCUGUUUGAGCCAGUGAUAAGACUAUAGUAGCUCCACUAUAGUUAUGGGAUCAGGAAAGCUAUGGACUGUAUAAGGUUGCUUGUGAUAUAAGGCUACCAUCGGUUAGGUAGAAAUCACUUCUAGCCUUGGAUUUGAUGAUGACAAUAUUCGACGCAUGGACCCGAUCGGUUAGAUCAGUAGGAUGCUUGAGCCACAAUGGCAUAGUAACUAGUGGCAACUAGUUUCCGAGAAGGAUUUCGUUUAGGAUCCGUGUGAGACGACUAUGUGGGGAGCCCUUUUAGCUCGGUGACCAGGCUGGAAACCGGUAAAUUCAGAUGACUGAUGGAUGAAUUGAGACCGGGAAGGUCUCGAUAGAUUAUGGGAAGUAGCUAUGUAGUAGCAUACUGCUUCCGACAGUUCAAUGUUUGGGCAGUUUCAGCAUCUGGGCAGUAUUAGUACUUGUGUCUUAGGUUGCAAGUACAAAUGGAAUAGUUGGUUUAUUGGGGAGUGACAAUUCACUCACAGCAAGAGUAUCUGGGCCUUGGCCAGGUACAAGUGAUCUGCAGAGAUAAUGAGGUCUGUGAUCCUGUUUUUUGUGGGAACCUUGAGUUAUCAGGAACUGAGUAAUCGGAUGAAAGACAAAUGCGCAAGAUUCGACGAUGAUGAUUCAGUGAGAGUGGUCUGUCAGGGAUUCAUAUCAUCCCAAGACAACAAAUUUCAGACGGGGUAAAUGAGAUCUUGUUGCGAGGAAUUCGUUUACCUGUGGAUUUUAGGGCUUUACAGGGAUGGGUCAUGGCUACCAUGGGAAGACUAAGGCGUGCCGAGGCUGGUGACCAUGCAACUAGAGUGGUUGGGUGAGUAAGGAAUGGUAAGAAAUGAUUUCGAGGACAAAAUCUAAUUUAAGUGGGGGAGAGUUGUAACACCCUGUUUAUUUAUUAAUUCAAUAAACAAAUUAACGAACGAAUAGAAGCUCUAAAAUAAAUAAUUAUAUAGCAAAGGAUGGUCUCGAAGGGCUGAACAUGUCAUAACUGAGUAUUGGGGGUUAAAAAGAUAAAUUAUGGAUUGAUUUUGAAAAGAAUUUGUUGAGAAAGGGGUUGUUUAGUAAAAUUUGGACUUAAAUUGUAGAGGAACUGAAGGGGUCGGGUUUAAAUGGUAAUUUAUAGACUUGCUAUGAAAGGAUUUUAUGGUGGAGGGGCCGAAACUGUCCAUAUGGCAAUAUGCUUACAGGAUCAGAGUAUAUAAACUCAUUACCCACUCUCUAACCCUAACCCUAGUCGUAACUAUUCAGCCGCCACCCCCUUUUUCCCUCAACCUUCAACCUUCGCCACCAUGCCGCCGGUGGUCUCGCCAUUGAAGCGCCACCAUCAUCCUGUCGUUGGAGGUUACGUGAAGCAGGGAAAAACUCACCGAGACCGAUGACGUGACUAUAGGUAGACUCUGGAAGGUGGUGCUCUUGGGUCUCGUUGUUGCAUCGCUGCCUUGAGUCACCGGACAUUACCUUGCCGCCUCCGCUGCUAUCAGAAAUGAAGUGCAUUACACCCGAAAACGUGUUGAGCAAGGGUGUCAGGAGGAACCGAUGAGAUUUGGGAGGGUGCUGCCAAACCCUAGCCGCCACUGUUUCAUCCAUUGUCAGCAAAGAACAAGGCUGUCAGGUAAGGAUUGUCGUGGUCGUGGGGAGAAGCCGGUGGAAUCGGAGCGUGGAUGUUGUCGACGCAAAGCCUUUCCCUUCCUAGUUCAUUGCUACAAAGCCACCGUCCUCUUUCCUCUUCUUUCCGAUUAGCCACCACUACUGCUGUUUUUUUUUUGUACUUCUACCGUCCUCAACCGCCACCAAGAGGGUGGUUGGACCCGUUUUCAAGCAAGAAAAGAGUGUGGUGUUUGUUCUUUCUAUAGCAUGUGUUGUGUGUAGCUUAUUGGACGGAAAAAGGCAUCACGACCACCAUAGGGUGGUGGCUGCCGCCAUGCACCACCUCCGGCCACCUCAAGGUGGUUUAUGUGUAUACGUUUAGCUUAGUUAGUGUGUGUGUUGCUUUGGUAUUUUCAUUGUAAUUGUAACUCAAAAGCGAAAUAAUGGAAAGAAAUUGGAAACCACCACCCUAGGGUGGUGGCUGCUGCCUCCUGCCACCAAUGGCCGCUGUGUCGCGUGGUGGUGAGCUUCGAUGGUGUUUUGACUCGUUGGAUGUUUAGAAAAGUGGCUAAGAAACCCUAAUGGGCCCAAUGAGGCUUAACGGGCUUAAUGAACCCUAAUGGGCCCAAUGAGGCUUAAUGGACAUAAAAGUCCAAACAUGUGUCUAAUGGGCUUAAUGGACCCUAAUGGAUCCAAGGACUUAGCUAAUGGGCCAAUUGGGCUAAGAUGGGUUAGAAACCCAAAUUAGGGUUUGGAAAUCCCUAAUGCCAUGAAACCCUAAUUUGGGAUUUAUCGGGAUCGCGUCAGGAUUAAUUAAUGAACUUGGAAUAUUAAUUAAUAAUUAUUUGCAAUCAAACUAAGUCAACAUUGGACUUAAUGGAUUAAGUCCUUAAGGGGUUAAGUAGGAACAUUUAACCCUAAUCGUUAUUUUAUGUGAAACCCUAAUUUCACUUGGGUUCAUUAUUGGGCCUUUCAAUUGGGCUUGAUGAUUGGGUUAUUAAAUGGGCCAUCCAAUAUCAAUCAAAUGGACUAGAAUAAUUAAUGGGCUUUGGGGUAAGGCCCAUGUAAGGGGUGUAAAGACGUAAAUUUUCAAAACAAUUUUUCAUUUUCCAACAACCAAAUUUAUAUUUAAACAUUCUCAAAACAUAUGUUCCACAGUUGUCACACCCCGAAAACCAAAGGCGGAAACAUUUCCGGGGUUGACUCCACGUUGAGUAUCAAAUCCAUUGCACAUAGUAAAGCAGUAAUAACAAAACAUUACAUUACAUAAUAUUGUUUACAUCUGUUUGAAAGAAAAGUUGUACAAGUGUUUUACAUAUGUAAUAUAAACAAAAGUAAAGACGAGUCUUCGGGACGCUUCGUCUUCUCCAAAAGGUGGCGGUGUACCUGUCUAUCACUGACCUGAGAAUACAAGCAGUUUGAAAAUCAGCAUAAAGCUGGUGAGUUCAUAAGCGGUUUAGUUUUGAAAAGAACGAGUUCCUUUACUUUCUGGAAAAGUUGUUGAUUAAGAAAAUCCCAUAUUUUCUUAUGAAAACGAUUUGGUUAUCCUUUGAUACAAUUUUGAAAACGGUUGGUUAUAUCGUUCUAGGAAAAUCCCAUAUUUUCCUUAUAGUUUUAGUUAUUCGUUUGUUACUUUAUCCGUUUAUGUGCUGUUGUGCUACCCAGGAAAAUCCCAUGUUUUCCUAUGUGUUGAGUUGUCUAUUUGUAUCUAGGUUCGUUACGGGUUGUUAUGUUAUCCCAGGAAAAUCCCAUAUUUUCCUAUGUGUGGUGUUUGGUUCUUAAGUCUGAUUUCGAAGUACUAGUAAUUACGAUGUGAGUAGUAUUAGUUAUGUGUUCUAAACCCUUAGUUAUUCUACAUUCGUAUGACUAUAAUCUACUAACUUAGUUGUAUUUUCGAAUAUUUGGAAUCACACAGAAGCGUACAUUAUAGUAUUUUCGAAGUUCUGCUGAGUUCCAAAAGAGUAUAUUAGUUGUGUAUUCGAAGCUCUGUCGACAUUCUGAGGCGGAUAUAUUUGAAACUCAGUAGAGGUCCAGAGGCGUAUUUUCGUAUUAGAUUCGAAACUCUGGUGACACUCAAGGAGUACACUAACUGUAUAUUCGAAAUCUUAGUGUCAACCAAAGGCGUCAUUUCGCAUUUGUAGUCGUAUUCGCAUUUGUAGUCGUAUUCGUAUUCGUAUUCGUAUUUGUAUUCGUAUUCGUAAUUUGUAUUCGUAUUCGUAAUUCGUAUUCGUAUUCGUAUUCGUAUUCGUAUUCAUAUUCGUAUUCGUAUUCGUUUUCGUAUUCGUAUUUGUAUUCAUAUUAGUAAUUCGUAUUCGUAUUCGUAUUCGUAUUCGUAUUCGUACUAUAUUACAUUCAUAUUGAUCUUAAAUAUGAUUAGUAUGAUUUCUCAUUCAAAGAGAAUAUAGUUAUAACACUCUUAAAAGAAAUCUAUGUUUAACCUGCAAUUCGAAAUGUCAGUUAUCACAAAUCUUUGGAAAUCAAAACAUUUAGUAAGUAAAAUCAUUUAGUUGAAAAUCAGUUUAAGUACAAAAUACACUUGUACUUUUGCUUGUAUUCCCUCCUGAAAACAUUGAAAAAACAUUGAAAACACGGAAAAAGGGUAGGGGUAUGAACUCACCGGACGCAGAAAUGUGUCGGUUACGGAUGCUAAACGUCGAAUCGAGGCUAGAUAACACGCGAGGUUCCUAUGUAAUAUGAAAUGGCAUACAAAUAUAUCUAAUUAAAUUCAUAAACUCUAAUUAGAUAUGAAGUCACACUCCAACGAACGAAAACACCUCAAAACGGGUGUUUAGAUUGACCUGGGUGACAUCUACGGACGGGAAUUGAAGUGAGGGACUUGGGAUUUGAGUUUACUCCCCAAGAGUAAACUUCCUAAUGAGUUUACGGCCUAAACACUACCCACACAUGAGUUCACGGCCGUGAACUCAUGUUGGCAAGGAUUAUGGAGCUUAAUGGGUCACAAAUGGCUAUUAUCACUUGGAAAUGCUUGGAAUAAUUUUACCUAAGGCUUGGAAUGAAUUAAAAUCACCAAAUACAACACUUAAGGGAGUUUACGGCCUUGGCAUGGGGCCUAUGGCCGUAAACUCUCAUAUUCCCUUGAAUAUUUGUUUUUAAGGUCCCAAAGUUAAUCACAUGUGAUUCUAAAAAUUCCUACAAGCCUUAAAAUGAUUUUUGGGCACAAUAUGACAUGUUUUUAGGAGUUUACGGCCAUGGAGCACCUUCUAUGGCCGUAAACUCUCAAAUGAAGAGUUUUGAUGUGUUUAAGGUCCUUAAACUAUUUUUGGUUGGUUCUAUGAUUUAUUCCAAGGCUUUUGGUGGUGUUGGAUGGCUUUCUAACACCUUAGAAGUGAGUUUACACCCAUGAUUGAGGAGUUUACGGCCCAAGCACAUGCCUUGGCCGUAAACUCAUACAAACCCCUCAAAAUUCAUGUUUGAGGUGUUCUAGGUCCAUAAGCAAUAUUCUAAAAGUCGUAUCUAAGUCUUGUUUGAUCCAUGGAAGGGUUUAAGGGCUUAAAAACCCUUUAAAUAUGGGUUUACGGCCUAAGCACCAUCCUGGGCCGUAAACUCAUAUAUAAGGCUCUAAAUCAUGUUUCAAGGCAUUCUAAGCUCAUUCCAUAAAGUCAUCUAGCCAUAUCUAAGGUCUAAUUGUGGUUUGGAAGGGUUUUGUUGCUCCAAAAACCCCAUUUGUAUGAGUUUACGGCCUAGGACUGUUCUAGGGCCGUAAAAUCAUGGUAAUGGUCCUAAUCCAUGAUUUAAACUCGAAUUUGAAGGCUCAAUAUGAUGCAAAAUAAGUAUAGGAAGGUACCUAGAAGAUUUGAGACCUUAAACUUGAGAUUUGGACCUUUAAUUCUAGUUUGAGGAGAGAGGUUGGAGUGAAAGUUGUAGAAUGGAGCAAAAGCUACAAAAUGAAGACGUGGAUCACUUUAAAUAGUGUCCAAGUUCUGGAAACGGUAGAAUUCUACCCGAUACCGACGUUAGACGGGGCUUUUGGUCGCACCCGGCCAAUUUGCCGUAACCCGAUAUGGUUGAUUCUAGAAAUGUUCUGAUCAUUAAUAUGAGACGUUAGAAUGAGUUCUAAGGGUAUUAAGACACUUAUUAAGUCAUAAAAUAAAAUAUACAUUAAUGACUUAAUAAAAUGUCGGAAUCGGAAACGAAAUCGGAAACGGCGAUUAGAUGAUCAGAACGAGUCGCGAGUAGGGUUACAUUUAGGGAUAUGAAUUUCGGGUUGUUACAACAGUAGUUAUCAAAAUAAUACAUAUCCCAAGAUCACAAAUACAAUCUCUUGACUGUGUGUACGGAUCACACCGGCGCCUUUCCACGGUCCUCGCUAGUACCUGAAACAAAUAACACAACAACUGUAAGCAUAAAUGCUUAGUGAGUUCCCCAAAAUACCACUUACACACAUACGCCUUUCCAGGCCAUAGUCUACACGACCUUCAGGUCCAUGUGUCUCAGGGGACUUCUAUCCCAGUCCCAGUAGACCUUCCGGUCCUACUCAUAUCGACCUUCCGGUCCAUGAAUCCCUAACCUUCCGGUUCACGUCAUAAUGCCUUCCGACCCAUAUCAUACAUAUCAUACAUAUCACAUAUAGAACAUACAACGCAUAGCAUACAAUACAUGCAUCUCAUAGCAUACAAGACCUUUCGGUCACACAUAGGUACCUUUCCAGGUAUAGUGUUGUGAGAAGACUCACCUCGGGUAACUCGGUAACUCGAAAAUCUCGGACUCUAUGAGAUAGGAUCUAGCCUCCGCCUAAUCAUAACAAACACUUCUCAUUAAUACAUUUCCCCAAGGCUAGACUCUUUACUUUCCUAUCAUUCUCAGAAGGGUAAAAGACCAUUUUACCCCUCUCAUGGCUCAAAUACCCUAAAGUUUACCAAACCCUAAAAGUCAACAAAAGUCAACCCUUCGGGUUACGCUGCACUUACCAAACAUGUACGCUGGGUGUACCCGGUGCCUUCACAGAAUCGGGGUGCACGACCCCUUAUGCUGCGCGUACUGGGAUUAUGCCCAGCGUAAGUCCCAAUUCAGCUAAUUUAUGGAUUUUCGUCUUAAUCGGUUAAGACAUGAACUCAUAUUCCAGAUCUGACUUCUCUAGGGUUACUUACUCCAUAAAGUUGAAACCUUUAAGCCAUUACAUGGCUGUAAAGGUCACCCAUCACCCAAAACACCUUUCCUCUUCCCAUGUUAAGUCCAUAACUCAUGCAUGACUCAAUAUCCACGACAAAGAUUGGAUUUUUAUGAAACCUCAUCACAUAAUACACUGGGAAAGGCCAGAUCUAAGCUUAUGGAGACCCUUUGCACAAAAAGUCUCCACCUUUGAACCAAGAACCCUAAAAAUGGGUCUACAAAGCAAAACUCAUGAAAUGCAAAGAAAGCUUUGAGCUUUUUACCUCAAAAUGGAGCUCCAACCUCUAUAGAACUCAGAUCUAGUCUUGCUCUCCAACUUCUAGCUCCAACAAUGGCUUCCUCUUCUCCUUCUUCACCUUAAAAAGGCACCUUCAAGCUUAAGAACACCCAUACAAGCUCAAAACGGGUUUUCUGCUCCCUUAGGGUUCACUCACUGAGGUAUGGUGGCUGGGUUAAAGGACUUAACGUUCCUUUUAUAGUGCACAAGCCAAUAUUUAGGGUUUUCAUCUGGACACAUUAUGCCCAGCGUAACCCUGGGCACGCCCAGCGUACCCAGGCGAGUCCGCAUCCAAAAUAAGCGCGCGAGUACGCGCAGUGUAUGCCUAUUACGCCCAGCGUACUCAUAAGUCCAAUAUUCAACUUAAGGGACUUAUCUUGACAACUUGCAGAAAUAGAAGGGUUAUAACGCCUACCUGAGUUUCGGGAUGUUACAAUUCUCCCCCACUAGAACCAGACUUCACCCUUGAAGUCUCAUGCUGCAAACAACUCCGGAUGUUGCUCCCGCAUCUCAGACUCCGGCUCCCAAGUCAGCUCGGACCCUCUCCGAUGUUGCCACUGGACCUGCACCAAGGGCACUUCUUUGUUCCUCAGAACCUUGGUCUAUCGAUCUAUAAUCGCAACGGGCCUCUCCACGUAGUUCAAGCUCGCAUCCACAUGAAUAUCCUCCAGCGGUACCACUGCCGACUCAUCGGCUAUACACUUCCUCAAAUGCGACACGUGGAAGGUAUCAUGAAUCUGCCCCAACACCGCGGUCAGCUCCAACCGAUAUGCUACCCUGCCUAGCCUCGCGACUACCCUGAACGGACCAAUAUACCGGGGACCCAACUUGCCCCUCUUCCUGAAUCGGAUCACUCCUUUUCAAGGAGAUACCUUCAGGAGCACAAAAUCUCCGACCUGGAACUCGAGCUCAAAUCGUCGCAUAUCCGCAUAACUCUUCUGGCGACUCUGAGCAGUCAACAACCUCUAUCUCACCUGAUGCAUCUGCUCUGUUGUCUGAAGCACUAUCUCUGUACUACCCAUCACACAUUGCCCUACCUCACCCCAACAAAUGGGGGUCCAACACUUCCUCCCAUACAAUAGCUCAAAGGGUGGCAUACCAAUGCUCGAAUGAUGGCUGUUGUUAUAAGAAAACUCAGCCCGGGGUAAAUACGUGUACCAACUGUUGGAUAUAGUGUCUAAGUCCAUAACUAUAUUUGGUAUGUACUUGACCCGACCCGGCAUGGUCCAUUUGGGUUGCACUUCACCCGAACAAUUUAUGGAUAAUCUGUUGAGAAUAGUACAAGUUAUGAUUAAUUAAUAUAUUAUAAGUUCUAAUAUAUUAAUAUAAGAUCAUAUUAUUUAAUUAGUAUUGAUCUAUAAUUAAUCUAGGAUUAAUUUAGAGAUCAAAGAUAUUACUAAUUAAAUAUGGGCUUCUAUAUUUAUAUAGUGUGGGCUAAGGCUUAUUUGGAAUGGGCUAGGCUUGCAUGGAAAAGUCCAUGGAUACUCCAUGGAGCUUUAACCCAUGGAUCUCAUGGAAAUGAAGAGACAUGGGUAUUAGGGUUUACAUGGAUGUAACCCUAAUCCACCACACUAUAUAAAGGAGGCUUUGGUUCUUGAAAUCACACUAGUUGNNNNNNNNNNNNNNNNNNNNNNNNNNNNNNNNNNNNNNNNNNNNNNNNNNNNNNNNNNNNNNNNNNNNNNNNNNNNNNNNNNNNNNNNNNNNNNNNNNNNNNNNNNNNNNNNNNNNNNNNNNNNNNNNNNNNNNNNNNNNNNNNNNNNNNNNNNNNNNNNNNNNNNNNNNNNNNNNNNNNNNNNNNNNNNNNNNNNNNNNNNNNNNNNNNNNNNNNNNNNNNNNNNNNNNNNNNNNNNNNNNNNNNNNNNNNNNNNNNNNNNNNNNNNNNNNNNNNNNNNNNNNNNNNNNNNNNNNNNNNNNNNNNNNNNNNNNNNNNNNNNNNNNNNNNNNNNNNNNNNNNNNNNNNNNNNNNNNNNNNNNNNNNNNNNNNNNNNNNNNCAAUCAACUACAACUACAAGGUAAGUAUUUCUACUAUCUUUAUUUGAUUCAUGUUCCCCAUGCCAUGCUAGUUAGAAUAUGAACCUUGGAAAAAAUAAUUAUUUGCAUGUAUCUUAGACAAACAUAGAUCCAAGGUUUAUUAGGGUUGCAUGUACACUAGGAAGUGUUAGAAUGCUCAAAACCCAUCAGUGGUAUCAUAGCCUAGGCUUGUUUGUUUGAUACUUGAUGCAAAAUAGUUGAAAAAGUCGAAAAACUUGAUGUCUGCCUGAUGAACUCGCCAAGUCCAUGGGGGGACUUGCUGAGUUUAUGUGUAUCUUCAACCUACUCGCCGAGUAGGUUCAUGCANNNNNNNNNNNNNNNNNNNNNNNNNNNNNNNNNNNNNNNNNNNNNNNNNNNNNNNNNNNNNNNNNNNNNNNNNNNNNNNNNNNNNNNNNNNNNNNNNNNNAUAGCAAGAAAGUGAGAGCUCUUCGUCAACCUGUCCACAAUCACCGAAAUUGCAUCGACACCCCUAGUAGUUCUCGGCAAUUUGGUGAUAAAAUCCAUGGUAAUCUAUUCCCACUUCCACUCGAGAAUCUCCAAUGGCUGCAACGUACCAUGCGGAUGCUGGUGCUCGGCCUUAACCUUGCGACAAAUCAAGCACCUCUCUAAGAACCAUGUGACAUUCCUCUUCAUACAGGGCCACCAAUACUCUCUUUUCAGAUCCAAAUACAUCUUGGUGGCCCCGGGGUGGAUCGAGAACCUCGAUCUAUGCGCCUCCUCCAUCAUGAUGGUACGCGUUCCGCCCACAAACGGUACCCAAACCAGACCCUGAAAGGUCAUAAGUCCUCGACUAUCGGUAACGAACUCUGAUACCUGCCCGAUCACCCGCUCCCUUUUGUGGUUCUCUGGUCUCACGGCCUCGGACUGGGCCCCUCGAAUGGUGUGCAACACCGGAGUCAUCACUGUCAAUCUCAUGCAAACAUCACAUAGUAGGGCGCUCUCCGUCCUACGGCUCAGGGCAUCUGCUACAACAUUAGCCUUGCCCGGGUGGUACAGGAUCUCGCACUCAUAAUCCUUUACCACAUCCAACCAUCUCCUCUGGCGCAUAUUCAGGUUGGGAUGAUCCAUCAAGUACUUCAAUCUCUUGUGGUCCAUGUAUAUGGUACACCGAACCCCAUACAGAUAGUGACGCCAGAUCUUGAGGGCGAACACCACUGCCCCUAACUCCAGAUCGUGGGUGGGAUACCUCAUCUCAUGAGGCUUCAACUUCCUUGGUGCAUAUGCUAUCAAAUGCCCCCUUUGCAUCAAUACUGCACCCAUCCCCGAUAUCGAUGCAUCACAAUACACCACAAAAUCCUCCAUCCCUUCCGGGAGUGCUAGCACCGGGNGCACAAUCUCUGGCGAAGUGUCUCAAACGAGGUCUGCUGCUCCGGACCCCAUGAAAAAGUAACACCCUUCCGGGUCAACCUGGUGAGUGGCACGACGAUCUUGGAGAAAUCCCUGAUAAAUCUCUGAUAAUAGCCAGCCAAUCCUAGAAAGCUCCUGAUAUCGGUGGGCGAUCUCGGCACCUCCCACCUCAUGACCGCCUCAAUCUUGCCCGGAUCGACCAAAAUCCCCUUCUAGUUGACGAGAUGCCCCAAGAACUGGACCUCUCGUAACCAGAACUCNNNNNNNNNNNNNNNNNNNNNNNNNNNNNNNNNNNNNNNNNNNNNNNNNNNNNNNNNNNNNNNNNNNNNNNNNNNNNNNNNNNNNNNNNNNNNNNNNNNNCCAAAAUGCAAUUUAGCAAUACUUGAGAUUUUGGGCUGUUACAUCAGAGUCGCCAGAAGAGUUAUGCGGAUAUGCGACAAUCUGAGCUCGAGUUCCAGGUCGGAGAUUUUGUGCUCCUGAAGGUAUCUCCUUGAAAAGGAGUGAUCCGAUUCAGGAAGAGGGGCAAGUUGGGUCCCCGGUAUAUUGGUCCGUUCAGGGUAGUCGCGAGGCUAGGCAGGGUAGCAUAUCGGUUGGAGCUGACCGCGGUGUUGGGGCAGAUUCAUGAUACCUUCCACGUGUCGCAUUUGAGGAAGUGUAUAGCCGAUGAGUCGGCAGUGGUACCGCUGGAGGAUAUUCAUGUGGAUGCGAGCUUGAACUACGUGGAGAGGCCCGUUGCGAUUAUAGAUCGAUAGACCAAGGUUCUGAGGAACAAAGAAGUGCCCUUGGUGCAGGUCCAGUGGCAACAUCGGAGAGGGUCCGAGCUGACUUGGGAGCCGGAGUCUGAGAUGCGGGAGCAGCAUCCAGAGUUGUUUGCAGCAUGAGACUUCAAGGGUGAAGUCUGGUUCUAGUGGGGGAGAAUUGUAACAUCCCGAAACUCAGGUAGGCGUUAUAACCCUUCUAUUUCUGCAAGUUGUCAAGAUAAGUACCUUAAGUUGAAUAUUGGACUUAUGAGUACGCUGGGCGUAAUGAGGCAUACACCGCGCGUACUCGCGCGCUUAUUUUGGACGCGGACUCGCCUAGGUACGCUGGGCGUGCCCAGGGUUACGUUGGGCAUAAUGUGUCCAGAUGAAAACCCUAAAUAUUGGCUUGUGCACUAUAAAAGGAACGUUAGGUCCUUUAACCCAGCCACCAUACCUCAGUGAGUGAACCCUAAGGGAGCAGAAAACCCGUUUUGAGCUUGUAUGGGUGUUCUUAAGCUUGAAGGUGCCUUUUUAAGGUGAAGAAGGAGAAGAGGAAGCCAUUGUUGGAGCUAGAAGUUGGAGAGCAAGACUAGAUCUGAGUUCUAUAGAGGUUGGAGCUCCAUUUUGAGGUAAAAAGCUCAAAGCUUUCUUUGCAUUUCAUGAGUUUUGCUUUGUAGACCCAUUUUUAGGGUUCUUGGUUCAAAGGUGGAGACUUUUUGUGCAAAGGGUCUCCAUAAGCUUAGAUCUGGCCUUUCCCAGUGUAUUAUGUGAUGAGGUUUCAUAAAAGUCCAAUCUUUGUCGUGGAUAUUGAGUCAUGUAUGAGUUAUGGACUUAACAUGGGAAGAGGAAAGGUGUUUUGGGUGAUGGGUGACCUUUACAGCCAUGUAAUGGCUUAAAGGUUUCAACUUUAUGGAGUAAGUAACCCUAGAGAAGUCAGAUCUGGAAUAUGAGUUCAUGUCUUAACCGAUUAAGACGAAAAUCCAUAAAUUAGCUGAACUGGAACUUACGAUGGGCAUAAUCCCAGUACGCGCAACAUAAGGGGUCGCGCACCCCAAUUCUGUGAAGGCACCAGGUACGCCCACCAUACAUGUUUGGUACGCGCAGCGUAACCCGGAGGGUUGACUUUUGUUAACUUUUAGGGUUUGGUCAACUUUAGGGUAUUUGAGCCAUGAGAGGGGUAAAAUGGUCUUUUACCCUUCUGAGAAUGAUAGGAAAGGAAAGAGUCUAGCCUUGGGGAAAUGUAUUAAUGAGAAGUGUUUGUUAUGAUUAGGCGGAGGCUAGAUCCUAUCUCAUAGAGUCCGAGAUUUCCGAGUUACCGAGUUACCCAAGGUGAGUCUUCUCACAACACUGUACCCGGAAAGGUACCUAUGUGUGACCGGAAGUUCUUGUAUGCUAUGAGAUGCAUGUAUUGUAUGCUAUGCGUUGCAUGUUCUGUAUGCGUUAUGUAUGUGAUAUGUAUGCUAUGUAUGAUAUGAGUAGGACCGGAAGGUCUACUGGGACUAGGACGGAAGUCCCUUGAGACACAUGGACCUGAAGGUCAUGUAGAGUAUGGCCUGUAAAGGUGUAUGUGUGUAAGUGGUAUUUUGGGGAAAUCACUAAGCAUUUAUGCUUACAGUUGUUGUGUUAUGUGUUUAAAGUACUAGCGAGGACCGUGGAAAGGCGCCAGCAUGAUCCGUACACACAGUCAGGAGAUUUUAUUUGUGAUCUUGGGAUAUGUAUUAUUUUGAUAACUACUGUGGAACAUAUGUUUUGAGAAUGUUUAAAUAUAAAUUUGGUUGUUGAAAAAUGAGAAAUUGUUUUGAAAAUUUACGUCAUUACAAGUUGGUAUCAGAGCCUUGGUUUGAGGGACUCGGAUGCACCUUCGGGCGUAUCUGAACUCAAACUGAGGAUUUGAGAAAAAAUUUAAACAAUAAAACUAAUUUUUCUAAAAGAGCAAGAGGUUUUGAGACAACCAGAGCGGAGCAGUGUGUACGGUCAGCCAGCGCCCGAACGGUGAUUCCCCAAAGUACCCUUACGUUAUGUGUUAUGAGAUAUGAUAUGUUAUGUUGUGCAUGCUAGAGUUGGUUAGGUAUUCAUAUUAGGAAUAGAGUGGCCUGAUUUUGUGAUGCCUUAGCCUAGGAAGGGUUGUGCUGCUAUGUGAUGCUUGAGAGCGAGUAGGUAGUAGUGACGGGCUGAUAAGAGGUCUACCGAAGGGUAGCCUAUGCCACUGAGAUAUAGAGUACUUGUGAUCUCGGAUCUAAGGAAGAGGACUUAGGGUGAAUACUUAUGCGAUGUAGAUGAUAGUAUAAGGGCCCGUACUACCGAAGAC
RNAcentral lists this long non-coding RNA (36253 nucleotides) under Lactuca sativa (garden lettuce). Its description in RNAcentral is "long non-coding RNA (LSAT_LNC003201)". The record is from RNAcentral. Lineage: Eukaryota; Viridiplantae; Streptophyta; Magnoliopsida; Asterales; Asteraceae.